RNAcentral lists this ribosomal RNA (433 nucleotides) under uncultured bacterium. Its description in RNAcentral is "partial 16S ribosomal RNA". It matches the Rfam family "Bacterial small subunit ribosomal RNA", at positions 29 to 507 of the family's 1533-position model. The record is from RNAcentral.
AACGAACGCUGGCGGCAUGCCUAACACAUGCAAGUCGAACUAGACCUUCGGGUCUAGUGGCGCACGGGUGCGUAACGCGUGGGAACCUGCCCUUAGGUUCGGAAUAACUCCCCGAAAGGGGUGCUAAUACCGGAUAAUGUCUUCGGACCAAAGAUUUAUCGCCUUUGGAUGGGCCCGCGUUGGAUUAGCUAGUUGGUAGGGUAAAAGCCUACCAAGGCGACGAUCCAUAGCUGGUCUGAGAGGAUGAUCAGCCACACUGGGACUGAGACACGGCCCAGACUCCUACGGGAGGCAGCAGUGGGGAAUAUUGGACAAUGGGCGAAAGCCUGAUCCAGCAAUGCCGCGUGAGUGAUGAAGGCCUUAGGGUUGUAAAGCUCUUUUACCCGGGAUGAUAAUGACAGUACCGGGAGAAUAAGCUCCGGCUAACUCCGUG